AACCACGGGUUAUUGCUUAGUACGGCGAGUGAAGCGGCAAAAGCUCAAAUUUGAAAUCUGGCACCUUCGGUGUCCGAGUUGUAAUUUGAAGAAGGUAACUUUGGAGUUGGCUCUUGUCUAUGUUCCUUGGAACAGGACGUCACAGAGGGUGAGAAUCCCGUGCGAUGAGAUGCCCAAUUCUAUGUAAAGUGCUUUCGAAGAGUCGAGUUGUUUGGGAAUGCAGCUCUGAGUGGGUGGUAAAUUCCAUCUAAAGCUAAAUAUUGGCGAGAGACCGAUAGCGAACAAGUACAGUGAUGGAAAGAUGAAAAGAACUUUGAAAAGAGAGUGAAAAAGUACGUGAAAUUGUUGAAAGGGAAGGGCUUGAGAUCAGACUUGGUAUUUUGCGAUCCUUUCCUUCUUGGUUGGGUUCCUCGCAGCUUACUGGGCCAGCAUCGGGUUGGAUGGUAGGAUAAUGACUAAGGAAUGUGGCUCUACUUCGGUGGAGUGUUAUAGCCUUGGUUGAUACUGCCUGUCUAGACCGAGGACUGCGUCUUUUGACUAGGAUGUUGGCAUAAUGAUCUUAAGCCGCCCGUCUUGGAGCGUGGACCAAAGUAGAUGGCUGAGGCGUGCCUGCAUCAGCACGCACACCGACUUGGAGAAUGUUGCUGUCAACAUGUUUCGGUCUGCCGCGUCCUGCCAUGCGGGACGAGAGAGUCUCACGGAAGUAGCAGUUUGUGGGGGGAGCCAACCCUGUGUGCGCAAUGGAUGGCGUGGUGGGGGAUUCUUGCACCCGUGAUCGAACGAUUAGAUGACCGCGGUUUGUGUUUGUAGAGAUUUAGAAGGAGCAGAUAGAUGGUGAACUAUCCCUGAAUAGACUGUAUCUACAGGAACCCAGAAGGGCGGUUGCACCAACGGGACCCGGCUGAGCCAGCGUCAGUCCGGUUCUUAAGGGUCGAACUGGGUUCCACGAUCCGUUUCCCGGGAGGAGGGUCCGUUCCCCAGUUUAAGGUAGCUUUUACUGGGUCUAAAAUUGGCGCUUUCGGUUUUUGGGCCGGGACUGGGUUUCACUACCGGUAUUCCCCUUACCCGGUUCCACACCGGGGUGUUUGGGGAAUUGGUUUUCCGGGCACUUUUACUUAAGGUAGGGCCCGGGUGAGGGGCGUGGGCCCCCCUGUGGGGGGCGGGGAAAAAAAUGCCGAAUUCUCAAAUUGGGUGUUUAGCAUAUGUUUGUUAACUGGGAGCUAUAGGGAUGUUGUUUUUUAAUAGAUGUAUGUUAUAUUUGUUAGGAUGUAUUUGCGAUUGUUUUUUUCUUAAUUGAUUAUUUUUAUGGGGAUGCUUUGUUUUGGUCGUAUAAGUAGGAAGUUGAUGGGUGGUUAUGGCACUGCCCUCCGGGGGGGACGCGCA
This 1383-nucleotide ribosomal RNA is filed under the name Debaryomyces hansenii. RNAcentral describes it as "partial large subunit ribosomal RNA". The stretch from base 1 to 584 matches the Rfam family "Eukaryotic large subunit ribosomal RNA", at positions 63 to 664 of the family's 3401-position model. The record is from RNAcentral. Lineage: Eukaryota; Fungi; Ascomycota; Pichiomycetes; Serinales; Debaryomycetaceae.